This 255-nucleotide ribosomal RNA is filed under the name uncultured bacterium. RNAcentral's name for it is "partial 16S ribosomal RNA". It matches the Rfam family "Bacterial small subunit ribosomal RNA", at positions 524 to 776 of the family's 1533-position model. The record is from RNAcentral.
UACGUAGGGGGCAAGCGUUGUCCGGAUUUAUUGGGCGUAAAGAGCGUGUAGGCGGCUUUACAGGUCCGUUGUGAAAACUCGAGGCUCAACCUCGAGACGCCGGUGGAAACCGUAAAGCUAGAGUCCGGAAGAGGAGAGUGGAAUUCCUGGUGUAGCGGUGAAAAUGCGCAGAUAUCAGGAGGAACACCGGUGGCGAAGGCGGGUCUCGUGGGCAGUAACUGACGCUGAGGAGCGAAAGCGUGGGGAGCGAACAGG